CGUCCUACGGGAGAAAGCAGGGGAUCUUCGGACCUUGCGCUAAUAGAUGAGCCUAAGUCGGAUUAGCUAGUUGGUGGGGUAAAGGCCUACCAAGGCGACGAUCUGUAGCGGGUCUGAGAGGAUGAUCCGCCACACUGGGACUGAGACACGGCCCAGACUCCUACGGGAGGCAGCAGUGGGGAAUAUUGGACAAUGGGGGGAACCCUGAUCCAGCCAUGCCGCGUGUGUGAAGAAGGCCUUAUGGUUGUAAAGCACUUUAAGCGAGGAGGAGGCUACUUUAGUUAAUACCUAGAGAUAGUGGACGUUACUCGCAGAAUAAGCACCGGCUAACUCUGUGCCAGCAGCCGCGGUAAUACAGAGGGUGCGAGCGUUAAUCGGAUUUACUGGGCGUAAAGCGUGCGUAGGCGGCUUAUUGAGUCGGAUGUGAAAUCCCCGAGCUUAACUUGGGAAUUGCAUUCGAUACUGGUGAGCUAGAGUAUGGGAGAGGAUGGUAGUAUUCCAGGUGUAGCGGUGAAAUGCGUAGAGAUCUGGAGGAAUACCGAUGGCGAAGCAGCCAUCUGGCCUAAUACUGACGCUGAUGUACGAAAGCAUGGGGAGCNCNNAUGAUUAGAUACCCUGGUAGUCCAUGCCGUAAACGAUGUCUACUAGCCGUUGGGGCCUUUGAGGCUUUAGUGGCGCAGCUAACGCGAUAAGUA
RNAcentral lists this ribosomal RNA (695 nucleotides) under Acinetobacter baumannii. RNAcentral's name for it is "bacterial SSU rRNA". It matches the Rfam family "Bacterial small subunit ribosomal RNA", at positions 190 to 866 of the family's 1533-position model. The record is from RNAcentral. Lineage: Bacteria; Pseudomonadati; Pseudomonadota; Gammaproteobacteria; Moraxellales; Moraxellaceae.